This 426-nucleotide ribosomal RNA is filed under the name uncultured bacterium. Its description in RNAcentral is "partial 16S ribosomal RNA". It matches the Rfam family "Bacterial small subunit ribosomal RNA", at positions 354 to 796 of the family's 1533-position model. The record is from RNAcentral.
GUGAGGAAUUUUCCGCAAUGGGCGAAAGCCUGACGGAGCAAUGCCGCGUGAAGGAUGAAGGCCUAUGGGUUGUAAACUUCUUUUCUCAGAAAAGAAUUAUGACGGUAUCUGAGGAAUAAGCAUCGGCUAACUCUGUGCCAGCAGCCGCGGUAAGACAGAGGAUGCGAGCGUUAUCCGGAAUGAUUGGGCGUAAAGCGUCUGUAGGUUGUUUAAAAAGUAUUCUGUCAAAGAUUAGGGCUUAACCCUAGAUAGGCAGAAUAAACUUUUAAGCUAGAGUUUGGUAGAGGCAGAGGGAAUUCCCGGUGGAGCGGUGAAAUGCGUAGAUAUCGGGAGGAACACCAAAGGCGAAGGCACUCUGCUGGGCCAAUACUAACACUGAGAGACGAAAGCGAGGGGAGCAAAUGGGAUUAGAUACCCGAGUAGUCC